CCUACGGGCGGCAGCAGUGAGGAAUAUUGGUCAAUGGACGAGAGUCUGAACCAGCCAAGCAGCGUGAAGGAUGACUGCCCUAUGGGUUGUAAACUUCUUUUAUAUGGGAAUAAAAUGUUCCACGUGUGGGAUUUUGUAUGUACCAUAUGAAUAAGGAUCGGCUAACUCCGUGCCAGCAGCCGCGGUAAUACGGAGGAUCCGAGCGUUAUCCGGAUUUAUUGGGUUUAAAGGGAGCGUAGGUGGAUUGUUAAGUCAGUGGUGAAAGUUUGCGGCUCAACCGUAAAAUUGCAGUUGAUACUGGCAGUCUUGAGUACAGUAGAGGUGGGCGGAAUUCGUGGUGUAGCGGUGAAAUGCUUAGAUAUCACGAAGAACUCCGAUUGCGAAGGCAGUUCACUGGACUGCAACUGACACUGAGGCUCGAAAGUGUGGGUAUCAAACAGGAUUAGAUACCCGUGUAGUC
RNAcentral lists this ribosomal RNA (460 nucleotides) under uncultured bacterium. RNAcentral's name for it is "partial 16S ribosomal RNA". It matches the Rfam family "Bacterial small subunit ribosomal RNA", at positions 338 to 795 of the family's 1533-position model. The record is from RNAcentral.